Molecule: unclassified non-coding RNA, 568 nt
Filed under: Hevea brasiliensis (rubber tree)
Lineage: Eukaryota; Viridiplantae; Streptophyta; Magnoliopsida; Malpighiales; Euphorbiaceae
Source: RNAcentral
CUCCUGCUAUAAUCGUUGUCUCAUCAUGAGUCAGUUCUCCACCUUUUCCUGCCUCAUUACCAUGAAAGUUUACUAGUGUUUUCAACUCAGCUCUGCGAAACAGUGCUACAUGUCCAUGACCCAGCAGAAAGUCCAGAAGCUUGCUUAUAGGAUAAGCAACAGGGAAGCAGAUCCACACAAGAACACGAACAAUUGGAGCCACUGUUGCACCAAUUGCCAAACCAUAACGAGAACAGACAGAUUGUGGUAUAAUCUCACCAAAUAGGAGAAUCAAGGUAACUGAAAUUAGAAUAGCACCCCAAGCUGUAACCAGACUAUCCAGAAAAAUAGGAAGGGCCUCCAUGGCAGCAGCAUUGCAAAUGAGCAGCGUGCAGAGCAAUAAAUGUUGAUUUUUGACAACCGGCAAUAUCUUUGCUGCGUGUUUGCGAUCUUUCGGGGUCCCGGACUGGGCAAGAACUUCAAGAUCGACGAUACUCAUAGACAUAAGUCCAAGAGUAAGCCCAGACAUCGAUCCAGCGAAAAUCACCAGCAAUACAAUUAUCAAAAUUUGUAUAAAGAAAUCCGUUUC